This 243-nucleotide unclassified non-coding RNA is filed under the name Ascomycota sp. RNAcentral describes it as "partial contains small subunit ribosomal RNA, internal transcribed spacer 1, and 5.8S ribosomal RNA". The stretch from base 1 to 47 matches the Rfam family "Eukaryotic small subunit ribosomal RNA", at positions 1785 to 1831 of the family's 1831-position model. The record is from RNAcentral. Lineage: Eukaryota; Fungi; Ascomycota.
AAAGUCGUAACAAGGUUUCCGUAGGUGAACCUGCGGAAGGAUCAUUACUGCUUGCUGGCGGCGCUGCUCUGGGAAACCAAAGCCGCGCCAGGCAUGCCACCCUUGUCUAUAUAUACUCUUUGUUAUUUCCCUCGGUGGGGCAACCCGCCGCUGGGGACAAUCAAACCCUUUUGUAUUAAGUAUCAAAUCAUCAGAAACAAAAUUAAAUAAUUACAACUUUUAACAAUGGAUCUCUUGGUUCUG